UGGUAGACUCCUUCCUGCAGCAAGACCC
Molecule: non-coding RNA, 28 nt
Filed under: Homo sapiens (human)
Lineage: Eukaryota; Metazoa; Chordata; Mammalia; Primates; Hominidae
Source: RNAcentral